AUUUAAAUAGUUUAAUAAAAAAUAUUGAUUUGUGGUAUCAAAGAUAUGAGAAAUUCAUUUUAGAUC
This 66-nucleotide transfer RNA is filed under the name Propsilocerus taihuensis. RNAcentral describes it as "tRNA-His". Lineage: Eukaryota; Metazoa; Arthropoda; Insecta; Diptera; Chironomidae. The record is from RNAcentral.